UCCCUAGUGGCUCAGUUGGUAAAGAAUCCACCUGCAAUAUGGGAGACCUGGGUUUGAUCCCUGGUUUGGGAA
RNAcentral lists this transfer RNA (72 nucleotides) under Capra hircus (goat). It matches the Rfam family "tRNA". Rfam says of the family: Transfer RNA (tRNA) molecules are approximately 80 nucleotides in length. The record is from Rfam by way of RNAcentral. Lineage: Eukaryota; Metazoa; Chordata; Mammalia; Artiodactyla; Bovidae. RNAcentral also lists the same sequence under 1 other name.